This 86-nucleotide transfer RNA is filed under the name Candidatus Gottesmanbacteria bacterium. Its description in RNAcentral is "tRNA-Leu". It matches the Rfam family "tRNA". Rfam says of the family: Transfer RNA (tRNA) molecules are approximately 80 nucleotides in length. Their secondary structure includes four short double-helical elements and three loops (D, anti-codon, and T loops). Lineage: Bacteria; Candidatus Gottesmaniibacteriota. The record is from RNAcentral.
GCCGAUGUGGUGAAAUUGGUAUACACGCUAGCUUCAGGAGCUAGUGACCUUCACAAGUCGUGGGAGUUCGAGUCUCCCCAUCGGCA